AGGCAAACAUGCACGGUUAGAAUGACAAGAACAGCACGCGCUCGCUUUUUUGGUCUGAUGUAUGUAUUGCACAAGGUCGUCAAGUGUCAUUGUAAAAGAGAAAGCAGGGGUUUCCGACGUGGGUAUGUUUGCAUCCGAGGGUGUGUAAAGUAGUGCUUAGGGGAAGCCCCCUCCCCCCCCCUUCCUCUUUUUUGCUCUGCCUCUGCAGUGAGCCUCACCCAUUCGCUAUCCAAUCAGCUUGCAGCCACAUGAGAGGAGAGAAAUGAUGGGGGAAGCCAUGCUGUGGAUAGUGACAGCCUGCCGGGAUGGGCAUCGUUUCAUUUGAAUUGAAGUCUGAAAUGUCCUUCUGGACAGGAGUUGGAUAGUAGAGGGCAGGUGAGACCGUGCUCCAUGGCGGAUUCCCAUUUGGUCCACAGUUUGUCUGAGUGGGGAGCAAGUUUUUCAGCACGCCGCAAUCCCUGUUAAGUGAUACCCAGCUGCCACUUGCGAAUUCUACCAAACACUUCAAAAGCUGAGCCAAAGGCAAGACAUGUCCAGAAGCUCUACAAACAGCAGAACCCCCACUGCCCAGAGUGGUUUCGGUGAAUGUGAUCAAGAUGCAGGCAGACAGCUCCUCAGGCGUGUGUGGUUGAUGUCAUCGUAUUUCAUUCUUUAUUAUCACAACAGCGCAUCAGACCUACUGAAUCAUUGUAAAAAUCAAUUCAUUGAACGCAUUAUUAUUAUCACACAAACAUACUAUCGGCAUGGCAGACAGUUUUCGAGUGCCCACUUCACAGCGAUAAUCUGUGAUAGAUGUCAACUGAACAUUAAGUACUUGACAAGAAACAACUCUGUGCUACACUUUGCUUGGAUAUUAUCAGUUCACAAGGGUGUGCCAUAGGGCUCUGUGUUAAGUCCUCUUUAAUUUCUGUGAAUAAUCUCUGUCAAAUGCAAAACUGCACCUUUGUAUGGAAGACACCAUUGUGUACUUCUAUGCUGCAUCUCUUGCAGAUUUGAGCCCACCACCUCUGAACUGAAGUGAGGCCAAUGUACUACUAGUUGUCCGUCGUGCGAUUAACUUCUUUUUUUAACAUGUUUAUUCAUUCGGGUAAAAGAGACACUUGAGUGUAAAUGGGAUGUCAUGUAUG
Syngnathus typhle (broad-nosed pipefish) is the source of this 1127-nucleotide long non-coding RNA. RefSeq lists it as uncharacterized. The transcript has 3 exons. Lineage: Eukaryota; Metazoa; Chordata; Actinopteri; Syngnathiformes; Syngnathidae. The record is from RefSeq and is a predicted model, not a curated record.